UCAUACUUUCUGAAGCUCCUCUGUGACUCCGUCCUGCGGGAAAUCUUUGCAGACACGGGUCAGCUCAUCCUCCAAGAGCAACCUCACGGCCUGGAAGCCUGUGCUGACCGGACCCAUCAGCUCCUCUAGGAUUGAAGCCAGUGUUUACCCUGGUUCUGAUGACGAAUGCUGUCGUUCAGGAUAGAGACGAAGCGGGCCCUCUUCUCUUCCUGCUGAAAGCAAAAGUACAAGUCUCGUCUGUAAGGAAGUCUCAAGUACACUGGAAGAGGACCAGGAACCACCACCAUAGGAACGGAAGAGUCUUCCUUAGAUCCUAAACACAAAAGAUCAGGUAUUGUCUGGCUUUGUUGAAACUACUUUGUAUUAGCACCUAUUUAUAUGAUUGAACUCUGUAGUCGCUUUGGAUAAAAGCGUCUGCUAAAUGACUAAAUGUAAACAACAGGCAAACAUCUAUUCAAAUAAGAAGCCAGAAUGCCCAUCCCUGUGGUCCAUGCCAUUGACUGUGCAAGACAUAAGAAAUCAUUUCA
Molecule: long non-coding RNA, 527 nt
Organism: Triplophysa dalaica
Lineage: Eukaryota; Metazoa; Chordata; Actinopteri; Cypriniformes; Nemacheilidae
Exons: 3
Source: RefSeq, a predicted model, not a curated record